This 1372-nucleotide ribosomal RNA is filed under the name uncultured bacterium. RNAcentral describes it as "bacterial SSU rRNA". It matches the Rfam family "Bacterial small subunit ribosomal RNA", at positions 28 to 1381 of the family's 1533-position model. The record is from RNAcentral.
GAUGAACGCUGGCGGCGUGCCUAAUACAUGCAAGUCGAGCGAACGGACGAGAAGCUUGCUUCUCUGAUGUUAGCGGCGGACGGGUGAGUAACACGUGGAUAACCUACCCAUAAGACUGGGAUAACUUCGGGAAACCGGAGCUAAUACCGGAUAAUAUUUUGAACCGCAUGGUUCAAAAGUGAAAGACGGCCUUGCUGUCACUUAUAGAUGGAUCCGCGCUGCAUUAGCUAGUUGGUAAGGUAACGGCUUACCAAGGCAACGAUGCAUAGCCGACCUGAGAGGGUGAUCGGCCACACUGGAACUGAGACACGGUCCAGACUCCUACGGGAGGCAGCAGUAGGGAAUCUUCCGCAAUGGGCGAAAGCCUGACGGAGCAACGCCGCGUGAGUGAUGAAGGUCUUCGGAUCGUAAAACUCUGUUAUUAGGGAAGAACAUAUGUGUAAGUAACUGUGCACAUCUUGACGGUACCUAAUCAGAAAGCCACGGCUAACUACGUGCCAGCAGCCGCGGUAAUACGUAGGUGGCAAGCGUUAUCCGGAAUUAUUGGGCGUAAAGCGCGCGUAGGCGGUUUUUUAAGUCUGAUGUGAAAGCCCACGGCUCAACCGUGGAGGGUCAUUGGAAACUGGAAAACUUGAGUGCAGAAGAGGAAAGUGGAAUUCCAUGUGUAGCGGUGAAAUGCGCAGAGAUAUGGAGGAACACCAGUGGCGAAGGCGACUUUCUGGUCUGUAACUGACGCUGAUGUGCGAAAGCGUGGGGAUCAAACAGGAUUAGAUGCCCUGGUAGUCCACGCCGUAAACGAUGAGUGCUAAGUGUUAGGGGGUUUCCGCCCCUUAGUGCUGCAGCUAACGCAUUAAGCACUCCGCCUGGGGAGUACGACCGCAAGGUUGAAACUCAAAGGAAUUGACGGGGACCCGCACAAGCGGUGGAGCAUGUGGUUUAAUUCGAAGCAACGCGAAGAACCUUACCAAAUCUUGACAUCCUUUGACAACUCUAGAGAUAGAGCCUUCCCCUUCGGGGGACAAAGUGACAGGUGGUGCAUGGUUGUCGUCAGCUCGUGUUGUGAGAUGUUGGGUUAAGUCCCGCAACGAGCGCAACCCUUAAGCUUAGUUGCCAUCAUUAAGUUGGGCACUCUAAGUUGACUGCCGGUGACAAACCGGAGGAAGGUGGGGAUGACGUCAAAUCAUCAUGCCCCUUAUGAUUUGGGCUACACACGUGCUACAAUGGACAAUACAAAGGGCAGCGAAACCGCGAGGUCAAGCAAAUCCCAUAAAGUUGUUCUCAGUUCGGAUUGUAGUCUGCAACUCGACUACAUGAAGCUGGAAUCGCUAGUAAUCGUAGAUCAGCAUGCUACGGUGAAUACGUUCCCGGGUCU